AAGCAACCCAGAGCCCUCCUCCCGCCUGCUCUGUGUAGGAGACAGCCUGCGGAGCCCACUGCCGGCGCGCAGAGAGCCCAGCAGCUCUUGAGUCCAGGAAGCAAGGGUGGGAGGAGGGACGAGCCAGUGGCAAUGACCCAGACCCGGACGACCCCCAUUGCUGAGCCAGCGGAGCUGCUUGCAGGCAAGAAGAAUCUGUUGGAUGAUUACAACAUUGCUGGAUUGAUAGCAGCCUCACCUGCCAGGCUCAAACUCCAGGGUCCACGAGGCUGGUGUCAGACCUAUUGGGAGACCCUCUGCGUUAGUGAGAAAAACGGCAAGAAAUGGGAGCACGCGGAAACCUCCAAGACUAGAGCCACCAGAUGCCACCGACAGCACGCAGCUGGACCAGCACGGGGGAGGGCCUUCGUGGGUCGAGAGCUCGCUCGGGAGAUAGUUGGUGCUUUUCUUUCAGGAGAAGAAUCCCUGGCGGAGUCUGACCGUUCUCUGGCGCACAGCCCCGGGGGUGGGCACAGCAGCCGCCCCUGCUGAAGGGACUGACGCCUCCGACGACCAGCAGCCAAGUUAAACGCACUGUUCCGUGAGCAGCUUUGUUGGAGACAGCGCGGUUCACAUUCUCUUCCAACGGAGCCGCUGACUGCGGAGCUGGGAGGGGACGUGACAGAACCCAGCCAUCCAACGUCCCCCCACCCCUCCCCAGCUGGGACCUCCGGCUGCUUCCGGGCUGCGCUGGGUGGCGUCAAGGAGCCGCCCCUCUGGGCCGCGUCCCUCCCUCACGCCCUGCACACUGGCCCUGUGUGGCCGGCGGGGCGCCUAAAAGGGCGGAAGGAUGCAGGGGCGGAGGGGGCUCGGGAUUGCACGCCUAGCUCAGACCCCCCAGCCAGGACCCCUCGCGCUGUUGGACACGCCAGCCUCCCGACCCUGCGGCUCCUACGGGAGGUGACAAGGACCCUGCCAACCUGGCCUGAAUGGCCCAGUUUGAUACAGAUCAGGUUUUCAAUGAAUGAGACCGCGGUGUGGUCUAGGCGGAGGGAUGAGAGGAGGGGAUUCUGCUGGGAUAAGUGGGGGCGGGGUAAGGAGGGGAUUCUUUUCCUGGGCUGAGGAGAACGCAGGGACAAAGUACACAGGGGUAGUUGAGUGAGCAGGUGAGGCCCUAGGCUGGUUCCCCACCUUCUCAGGAUCGGAGCCACUCACUUCCUGGUACUCUCUGCAGUCUCCUGGCGUUAAAUAACAUCCCUUUGCUGGAGACUCUGGAUUCACAUCCAUAAUCGCAGCCUCCCCUACUCAUCCCCUCACGCUUCCCAUGAACUAACCUUGAAGGACCCGACCAGAGCCCUGACCUCCGUCCCACACACCUGCUACAUGGAAGGUGUUCUCCACAUCAGUUCAAGGCAGUGUCACUCUUCAGGAUGUUCAGGCUCUAAACCUUGGACUCCUCCUCCAGAUUUCUCUCUCCUUCCUUCUCCUUGUCUCUCCCUUGCACUUACGGUUCACUUUUCCUUCGUAGCUUUGUAGCUCAUUCCCCCUUCCACUUUCCACACCACCUUCUGGUCUGUUAAUUAAAUAUUACCUGGUUUCCACUGACACCUUCCCUGGGUUCCCAAUUGAAAAUCACAACAUCAUCCUCCUCCUCUGCUUUUUUUCUCCAAAUUAUAUCCUCACCCAAUUAUGUGUUAUUCUCAUUAAUCUUGCUUAAUUAAUUAGCAGACAUUAUUAAUGCCUGUUUCCCCUAUCACCACCACUAGACUAUGAACUCCUAAGGACUCCUUCCUUCCACCACUGUUGUACUCGCUUCACCUAGAACUGCUUGGCACAUACAAUGUGCUCCAUAAAUAUUUGUUGAAUGAAAGACUAGACACAACUUAGGAUUCACUCCCCCAUGUGGCAUCCAUAAGCCCUGUAUGCAGGUAAAAUGUCAGUGGGUUGACUAAAUACUGGAAGUGGAAAAAACUUCACCUCUUUGGUUUGCAGUUGUCUAGGAUAUUUAGGCCAAUGGAAAAUCCAGUUUUCCUUAGAAUUAAGCCAGUGCCGCCAGACUUGCCAGUUUACCAUGCUUGUCUGACUGGUCCUCAGCAUGGGUCAUACGUGUCCAAUGAAUUCAAACAAAAUCUUGAGAAGACACGAACCUUGCCCUUCGGCUGGGCGCGGUGGCUCACGCCUGUAAUCCCAGCACUUUGGGAGGCCGAGGCAGGCGGAUCACGAGGUCAGGAGAUCGAGACCAUCCUGGCUAACAUGGUGAAACCCCGUCUCUACUAAAAAUACAAAAAAUUAGCCGAGCGUGGUGGCGGGCGCCUGUAGUCCCAGCUACUCAGGAGGCUGAGGCAGGAGAAUGGCGUGAACCCGGGAGGCGGAGCUUGCAGUGAGUGAGCCGAGAUCGCACCCCUGCACUCCAGCCUGGGCGACAGAGCGAGACUCCGUAAAAAAACAAAAAAAAAACCUUGCCCUUCAUUCCCCAUUUCUAUCAUAAUCUACACAGAGUUUUGAACAGGCAUUUUAAAAUCAACAAUAUAUUAUUUACAAUUUUGUUAGUAUACAUAACUCUAACUCACUGUUAAAAAUCACCUGUCUUUAUAUCCAUUAAAUGACACUUGCAUAUGCUCCAA
This 2603-nucleotide long non-coding RNA is filed under the name Homo sapiens (human). RNAcentral's name for it is "KHDC1 antisense RNA 1, transcript variant 31 (KHDC1-AS1)". Lineage: Eukaryota; Metazoa; Chordata; Mammalia; Primates; Hominidae. The record is from RNAcentral.